AGUGAACGCUGGCGGUAGGCCUAACACAUGCAAGUCGAACGGCAGCACAGUAAGAGCUUGCUCUUACGGGUGGCGAGUGGCGGACGGGUGAGGAAUACAUCGGAAUCUACUUUUUCGUGGGGGAUAACGUAGGGAAACUUACGCUAAUACCGCAUACGCCCUACGGUUGAAAGCAGGGGAUCUUCGGACCUUGCGCGAUUGAAUGAGCCGAUGUCGGAUUAGCUAGUUGGCGGGGUAAAGGCCCACCAAGGCGACGAUCCGUAGCUGGUCUGAGAGGAUGAUCAGCCACACUGGAACUGAGACACGGUCCAGACUCCUACGGGAGGCAGCAGUGGGGAAUAUUGGACAAUGGGCGCAAGCCUGAUCCAGCCAUACCGCGUGGGUGAAGAAGGCCUUCGGGUUGUAAAGCCCUUUUGUUGGGAAAGAAAAGCAGCAGGUUAAUACCCCGCUGUUCUGACGGUACCCAAAGAAUAAGCACCGGCUAACUUCGUG
RNAcentral lists this ribosomal RNA (492 nucleotides) under uncultured bacterium. RNAcentral describes it as "partial 16S ribosomal RNA". It matches the Rfam family "Bacterial small subunit ribosomal RNA", at positions 29 to 507 of the family's 1533-position model. The record is from RNAcentral.